UCGAGCGAGCUUGCCUAUAGAAGUUCUUCGGAAUGGACAUAGAUACAAGCUAGCGGCGGAUGGGUGAGUAACGCGUGGGUAACCUGCCCUUAAGUCUGGGAUACCAUUUGGAAACAGAUGCUAAUACCGGAUAAAAGCUACUUUCGCAUGAAAGAAGUUUAAAAGGCGGCGUAAGCUGUCGCUAAAGGAUGGACCUGCGAUGCAUUAGCUAGUUGGUAAGGUAACGGCUUACCAAGGCGAUGAUGCAUAGCCGAGUUGAGAGACUGAUCGGCCACAUUGGGACUGAGACACGGCCCAAACUCCUACGGGAGGCAGCAGUAGGGAAUCUUCCACAAUGGACGAAAGUCUGAUGGAGCAACGCCGCGUGAGUGAAGAAGGUUUUCGGAUCGUAAAGCUCUGUUGUUGGUGAAGAAGGAUAGAGGUAGUAACUGGCCUUUAUUUGACGGUAAUCAACCAGAAAGUCACGGCUAACUACGUGCCAGCAGCC
This 487-nucleotide ribosomal RNA is filed under the name Lactobacillus jensenii. RNAcentral describes it as "bacterial SSU rRNA". It matches the Rfam family "Bacterial small subunit ribosomal RNA", at positions 62 to 516 of the family's 1533-position model. The record is from RNAcentral. Lineage: Bacteria; Bacillati; Bacillota; Bacilli; Lactobacillales; Lactobacillaceae.